Molecule: ribosomal RNA, 499 nt
Filed under: uncultured bacterium
Lineage: Bacteria
Description: partial 16S ribosomal RNA
Rfam family: Bacterial small subunit ribosomal RNA
Source: RNAcentral
GACGAACGCUGGCGGCGUGCCUAAUACAUGCAAGUCGAGCGGACCAAACAGGAGCUUGCUCUUGUUUGGUUAGCGGCGGACGGGUGAGUAACACGUGGGUAACCUGCCCGUAAGACCGGGAUAACUCCGGGAAACCGGAGCUAAUACCGGAUAACACCGAAGACCGCAUGGUCUUUGGUUGAAAGGCGGCUUCGGCUGCCACUUACGGAUGGGCCCGCGGCGCAUUAGCUAGUUGGUGAGGUAACGGCUCACCAAGGCGACGAUGCGUAGCCGGCCUGAGAGGGUGACCGGCCACACUGGGACUGAGACACGGCCCAGACUCCUACGGGAGGCAGCAGUAGGGAAUCUUCCGCAAUAGACGAAAGUCUGACGGAGCGACGCCGCGUGAGCGAAGAAGGUCUUCGGAUCGUAAAGCUCGGUUGUUAGGGAAGAAGAAGCGCCGUUCGAACAGGGCGGCGCGGUGACGGUACCUAACGAGAAAGCCCCGGCUAACUACGUG